This 353-nucleotide ribosomal RNA is filed under the name uncultured bacterium. Its description in RNAcentral is "bacterial SSU rRNA". It matches the Rfam family "Bacterial small subunit ribosomal RNA", at positions 8 to 353 of the family's 1533-position model. The record is from RNAcentral.
AGAGUUUGAUCAUGGCUCAGGAUGAACGCUAGCUACAGGNUUAACACAUGCAAGUCGAGGGGAAACGACAUCGAAAGCUUGCUUUUGAUGGGCGUCGACCGGCGCACGGUGAGUAACGCGUAUCCAACCUGCCCACCACUUGGGGAUAACCUUGCGAAAGUAAGACUAAUACCAAUGAUAUCUCUAGAAGACAUCUGAAAGAGAUUAAGAUUUAUCGGUGAUGGAUGGGGAUGCGUCUGAUUAGCUUGUUGGCGGGGUAACGGCCCACCAAGGCAACGAUCAGUAGGGGUUCUGAGAGGAAGGUCCCCCACAUUGGAACUGAGACACGGUCCAAACUCCUACGGGAGGCAGCA